Molecule: small nucleolar RNA, 96 nt
Filed under: Spermophilus dauricus (Daurian ground squirrel)
Lineage: Eukaryota; Metazoa; Chordata; Mammalia; Rodentia; Sciuridae
Description: Small nucleolar RNA SNORA20 (ENSSDAG00000000048.1)
Rfam family: Small nucleolar RNA SNORA20
About the family: ACA20 is a member of the H/ACA class of snoRNA that guide the sites of modification of uridines to pseudouridines.
Source: RNAcentral
CUUCCCAUUUAUUUGCUGCUAUAGUCUCUCAGUGAUAUAAGCAGUUAUACGCGUGGGAUAAAACAAUAUUGGGCCAUUGUAACAGACGAGUAACAG